RNAcentral lists this ribosomal RNA (435 nucleotides) under uncultured bacterium. Its description in RNAcentral is "partial 16S ribosomal RNA". It matches the Rfam family "Bacterial small subunit ribosomal RNA", at positions 355 to 784 of the family's 1533-position model. The record is from RNAcentral.
UGGGGAAUAUUGCACAAUGGGCGCAAGCCUGAUGCAGCCAUGCCGCGUGUGUGAAGAAGGCCUUCGGGUUGUAAAGCACUUUCAGCGAGGAGGAAGGUGUGAGCUUAAUACGCUCAUCAAUUGACGUUACUCGCAGAAGAAGCACCGGCUAACUCCGUGCCAGCAGCCGCGGUAAUACGGAGGGUGCAAGCGUUAAUCGGAAUUACUGGGCGUAAAGCGCACGCAGGCGGUUUGUUAAGUCAGAUGUGAAAUCCCCGGGCUCAACCUGGGAACUGCAUUUGAAACUGGCAAGCUAGAUCUCGUAGAGGGGGGUAGAAUUCCAGGUGUAGCGGUGAAAUGCGUAGAGAUCUGGAGGAAUACCGGUGGCGAAGGNGCCCCCUGGACGAAGACUGACGCUCAGGUGCGAAAGCGUGGGGCAGCAAACAGGAUUAGAUA